GGGGACGUACAGAUUCGACGGAUUUGCACUUUAACAAUCGCAAGCUGUUUAGGAAACAUUAAACAUCGUCCAUAGGGCGACCAGCCUUUGGCUGGUAAAAUAUUGUUUCAAAAAUAAAUGCUAAGGCACAAAACCUUACAUCCCAAAUGGGGCAACUUUUAGCCCUCGGUGGUUUUAACCGACCACAGUAUGCUACUUUAGCCGCAUAAGGGUAUUUUAAGCUAAUCUCUAUCUGAUGGAAUGCUUAAAGUAUGUACAACAGUCAGAUUGCUAAGAUUAUGGUGUUGGUUGAUCCAUAAUUUUUUAAGACAACUCAAUCAAGUAUUGGUUUUUCCGCCUUCGCUAAAAGCUUCGGCGGGACAGGCCUGCUAAUGGGCCACCCAAUACUUAAAAAAUAUAUUAGCUAAGCUUGUAGAUGUUGUUACUUUAUAAAUUCACACAGGGCUCAAUGCCCUCGUCUCCACAC
Molecule: transfer-messenger RNA, 466 nt
Filed under: Candidatus Staskawiczbacteria bacterium
Lineage: Bacteria; Candidatus Staskawicziibacteriota
Rfam family: transfer-messenger RNA
About the family: Bacterial tmRNA, also known as 10Sa RNA or SsrA, is named for its dual tRNA and mRNA-like properties.
Source: RNAcentral